AGGAAGUAAAAGUCGUAACAAGGUCUCCGUUGGUGAACCAGCGGAGGGAUCAUUACCGAGUUUACAACUCCCAAACCCAAUGUGAACGUUACCAAACUGUUGCCUCGGCGGGAUCUCUGCCCCGGGUGCGUCGCAGCCCCGGACCAAGGCGCCCGCCGGAGGACCAACCAAAACUCUUUUUGUAUACCCCCUCGCGGGUUUUUUAUAAUCUGAGCCUUCUCGGCGCCUCUCGUAGGCGUUUCGAAAAUGAAUCAAAACUUUCAACAACGGAUCUCUUGGUUCUGGCAUCGAUGAAGAACGCAGCGAAAUGCGAUAAGUAAUGUGAAUUGCAGAAUUCAGUGAAUCAUCGAAUCUUUGAACGCACAUUGCGCCCGCCAGUAUUCUGGCGGGCAUGCCUGUCCGAGCGUCAUUUCCACCCUCGAACCCCUCCGGGGGGUCGGCGUUGGGGAUCGGCCCUCCCUUAGCGGGUGGCCGUCUCCGAAAUACAGUGGCGGUCUCGCCGCAGCCUCUCCUGCGCAGUAGUUUGCACACUCGCAUCGGGAGCGCGGCGCGUCCACAGCCGUUAAACACCCAACUUCUGAAAUGUUGACCUCGGAUCAGGUAGGAAUACCCGCUGAACUUAAGCAUA
This 628-nucleotide ribosomal RNA is filed under the name Trichoderma harzianum. RNAcentral describes it as "eukaryotic LSU rRNA". The stretch from base 256 to 409 matches the Rfam family "5.8S ribosomal RNA". Lineage: Eukaryota; Fungi; Ascomycota; Sordariomycetes; Hypocreales; Hypocreaceae. The record is from RNAcentral.